Molecule: ribosomal RNA, 1432 nt
Filed under: Shigella sonnei
Lineage: Bacteria; Pseudomonadati; Pseudomonadota; Gammaproteobacteria; Enterobacterales; Enterobacteriaceae
Description: partial 23S ribosomal RNA
Rfam family: Bacterial large subunit ribosomal RNA
Source: RNAcentral
UCCUGACUGACCGAUAGUGAACCAGUACCGUGAGGGAAAGGCGAAAAGAACCCCGGCGAGGGGAGUGAAAAAGAACCUGAAACCGUGUACGUACAAGCAGUGGGAGCACGCUUAGGCGUGUGACUGCGUACCUUUUGUAUAAUGGGUCAGCGACUUAUAUUCUGUAGCAAGGUUAACCGAAUAGGGGAGCCGAAGGGAAACCGAGUCUUAACUGGGCGUUAAGUUGCAGGGUAUAGACCCGAAACCCGGUGAUCUAGCCAUGGGCAGGUUGAAGGUUGGGUAACACUAACUGGAGGACCGAACCGACUAAUGUUGAAAAAUUAGCGGAUGACUUGUGGCUGGGGGUGAAAGGCCAAUCAAACCGGGAGAUAGCUGGUUCUCCCCGAAAGCUAUUUAGGUAGCGCCUCGUGAAUUCAUCUCCGGGGGUAGAGCACUGUUUCGGCAAGGGGGUCAUCCCGACUUACCAACCCGAUGCAAACUGCGAAUACCGGAGAAUGUUAUCACGGGAGACACACGGCGGGUGCUAACGUCCGUCGUGAAGAGGGAAACAACCCAGACCGCCAGCUAAGGUCCCAAAGUCAUGGUUAAGUGGGAAACGAUGUGGGAAGGCCCAGACAGCCAGGAUGUUGGCUUAGAAGCAGCCAUCAUUUAAAGAAAGCGUAAUAGCUCACUGGUCGAGUCGGCCUGCGCGGAAGAUGUAACGGGGCUAAACCAUGCACCGAAGCUGCGGCAGCGACGCUUAUGCGUUGUUGGGUAGGGGAGCGUUCUGUAAGCCUGCGAAGGUGUGCUGUGAGGCAUGCUGGAGGUAUCAGAAGUGCGAAUGCUGACAUAAGUAACGAUAAAGCGGGUGAAAAGCCCGCUCGCCGGAAGACCAAGGGUUCCUGUCCAACGUUAAUCGGGGCAGGGUGAGUCGACCCCUAAGGCGAGGCCGAAAGGCGUAGUCGAUGGGAAACAGGUUAAUAUUCCUGUACUUGGUGUUACUGCGAAGGGGGGACGGAGAAGGCUAUGUUGGCCGGGCGACGGUUGUCCCGGUUUAAGCGUGUAGGCUGGUUUUCCAGGCAAAUCCGGAAAAUCAAGGCUGAGGCGUGAUGACGAGGCACUACGGUGCUGAAGCAACAAAUGCCCUGCUUCCAGGAAAAGCCUCUAAGCAUCAGGUAACAUCAAAUCGUACCCCAAACCGACACAGGUGGUCAGGUAGAGAAUACCAAGGCGCUUGAGAGAACUCGGGUGAAGGAACUAGGCAAAAUGGUGCCGUAACUUCGGGAGAAGGCACGCUGAUAUGUAGGUGAAGUCCCUUGCGGAUGGAGCUGAAAUCAGUCGAAGAUACCAGCUGGCUGCAACUGUUUAUUAAAAACACAGCACUGUGCAAACACGAAAGUGGACGUAUACGGUGUGACGCCUGCCCGGUGCCGGAAGGUUAAUUGAUGGGGUC